UCUCCAAAGCCGUGACGAGGACAGAGAUCUAAAAGGGUUGCAGACUCAAGCAACUCUUGCAUGGUGAUCGUCAAGCCCACUUGCAUACAUCUGCCCAGCAUCUGUAUUGCAGUGAGGGAGUCACCCCCAUGUGCUAAAAAUGACUUGUUCAUCUCAAUGCCGCUCAAGGGCAUUUUCAAAACUUCGGCGCAUAUCUUCCGAAGCUGCUCUUGGGCCUCGCUCGGCGGUUGAUGUAUCGGGGUGAUCUCAAGCGUCACCAUCCUCACUGGUGUCUCUUUGAAGGCGGGAAGGGGGGAAAAUAGCAA
This 305-nucleotide small RNA is filed under the name Histoplasma capsulatum. RNAcentral describes it as "hypothetical RNA". RNAcentral also lists the same sequence under 1 other name. The record is from RNAcentral. Lineage: Eukaryota; Fungi; Ascomycota; Eurotiomycetes; Onygenales; Ajellomycetaceae.